AGUGGGAUAGCUGGGUCAAAUGGUCUAUUCCCAGAUUUCCAAGGAAUCUCCAUACUGCUUUCCAUAUUGACUGCACUGAUUUGCAGUCCCACCAGCAUU
RNAcentral lists this microRNA precursor (99 nucleotides) under Marmota monax (woodchuck). Lineage: Eukaryota; Metazoa; Chordata; Mammalia; Rodentia; Sciuridae. The record is from RNAcentral.